RNAcentral lists this ribosomal RNA (484 nucleotides) under uncultured bacterium. Its description in RNAcentral is "bacterial SSU rRNA". It matches the Rfam family "Bacterial small subunit ribosomal RNA", at positions 30 to 507 of the family's 1533-position model. The record is from RNAcentral.
AUUGAACGCUGGCGGCAUGCCUUACACAUGCAAGUCGAACGGCAGCACGGGAGCAAUCCUGGUGGCGAGUGGCGAACGGGUGAGUAAUAUAUCGGAACGUGCCCGGUCGUGGGGGAUAACGUAGCGAAAGCUACGCUAAUACCGCAUACGAUCUAUGGAUGAAAGCGGGGGAUCGCAAGACCUCGCGCGAUUGGAGCGGCCGAUAUCAGAUUAGGUAGUUGGUGAGGUAAAGGCUCACCAAGCCGACGAUCUGUAGCUGGUCUGAGAGGACGACCAGCCACACUGGGACUGAGACACGGCCCAGACUCCUACGGGAGGCAGCAGUGGGGAAUUUUGGACAAUGGACGCAAGUCUGAUCCAGCCAUUCCGCGUGCAGGAUGAAGGCCCUCGGGUUGUAAACUGCUUUUGUACGGAACGAAAAGGUUUGUCUUAAUACGAUGAGCUCAUGACGGUACCGUAAGAAUAAGCACCGGCUAACUACGUG